This 238-nucleotide ribosomal RNA is filed under the name uncultured bacterium. RNAcentral's name for it is "partial 16S ribosomal RNA". It matches the Rfam family "Bacterial small subunit ribosomal RNA", at positions 96 to 334 of the family's 1533-position model. The record is from RNAcentral.
CGGCGGACGGGUGAGUAACGCGUGGGUAACCUGCCUCAUACAGGGGGAUAACAGUUAGAAAUGACUGCUAAUACCGCAUAAGCGCGCGGUACCGCAUGGUACAGUGUGAAAAACUCCGGUGGUGUGAGAUGGAUCCGCGUCUGAUUAGGUAGUUGGUGAGGUAACGGCCCACCAAGCCGACGAUCAGUAGCCGACCUGAGAGGGUGACCGGCCACAUUGGGACUGAGACACGGCCCAA